CCAGGGUCUGUUCAACUUCUUAUUCACCAAAGCAUACAGAAACAGGGUUCCAUCAGAAAUUUUCCUUCCGGUGAUAAUCCAGUUUUUCAUUUUUGCAUAGAGAAGAAUGAAGAAAAAUUAGCAGAGUUUAAGGUUAAAUUGAGGAGGGCAGAAACAAAGGGAUGCUCUUCAAGAACCUGAGGCUUCACCUUUUGAAAAAGAGAAAGGUAAAAGAGGAGCUGAAAAAGAUUAGAGAUCUUACAAAGGAAAGCGCCGGAUUAAAAACUAAGGAGGAAAUUUACCUUGUAUUGUUGGUCUGCUAGUUAUUGGCAUUGUUGACUCCUUGAUCUCUUCAUCAUCUGAUUGGCACAAAGUUCCGAUUCUUGUGGUAAUUUUGGUCGGUGUGCUUUCACAAGUCAUCUACGAGCAGAGUAUGCUGUCAGAAACAGAACGAUCACAUGAAGCAAAAACAGAGGAAGAGAAAGAGUGAUGACUUUUCUUGCCAUUUUAUUCUAUAUUUACUAGAGUUUUUCACUUCAUAUUAAUUUUCUUUUCUGUUUUUUCUUUUCUUUUAGUCACUUCACUUGAAUAUAGCAUGAUACAUAACCCCAAGAAAGAUUUUUACUACUUGGGACUGAUAAAUCAAGCUACUUUGCUUUUGCAUCAUCAUUCAUACUUGGUGAUAUUUCUGUAAUCACCAAAUCCUUGUUUAAUCAGAUGCCUAUGUUACAUUUCCAGUAGUAUACUGGAACAAACAAAGAGUUGAGAUAUUUAUUAAUAUUGUAAGGUUAAAAGACUUGAUGAACUUAUGAACAUAUAUUUAUACAGUAUUUAUCUUUUGUCCUCUGCAAAUGAAUUUUGAUAACCAAAUAUGAAUAUCGCGUGAGGCAUAACCCCUAGCAAGAUCUUAUUACUUGGGACUAUAUAAUCAGGCUUCUUUGCUUUUGCAUCAUCAUCCGUUUUAGGUGAUAUAUCUGUAAUCACCAAAAACCAGUUGUAUCUGAUGCUUUACAUGGGUCUUUUCUUCAUCAAUAAUUUUUUUUAAAAAAAAAAGAGAGAGCCGGGACUUUUAGCAUUACCAGUUGCCUGAAUCUCAAAAGCACAGAAAGAAACAGAAGAAAUAACUGAAAUACAUAUAUAGUGUGUAGUAUUUACAAUUAACAUAAUUUUGUAGUUUAUUUUUCGGCCAAAAUUAUAGUAAAAUAUUCAAGUCUUAUUGUUACUUCAUCAAACAAGACAUCCAAAAUAUAACAUUUUAAUUAAAAUAAUUUUACAGGGUAGCAGAUCCGUACUUGUCACUUGUCAAUCAUCUAAUCAUAGAUAGUGAAAUUGAUUGGAUUAAUUAUUUUACAGGGGAGCAAGUACAUACUAGUAACUCCAAAAUACUAAAAACAAUUCUAGCAAUUUUAUACAUGCAAAGAGCGGAACUGAGUAUAUCAAAUGUAGAACUGAUUUUUGGAGAAUGAAAGUUAAUGACGUCAGUUCUGGGAACUUACCUCUUCGCCAACUAGAUUACUUUGAGAAGUCUCUGUACAACAGGCAGCAUUUGCAAACAUAUCAAAUUAAACCUGCCGAGAUACAGAAGCUACCUUAGGAAACAAGUAAACAACUCAAAAAAAGAAAAAAGCAGCAAACAGAAUUCAGAUGAGUAAAGUAGCAGCUCAUACAUUAAUGGAAAAGUUAUCCGUAUGUAUAAUUGAACUGUGGAUAGAAACUUAUGCUCUCCAAACCAAACAUAUAACUAUUUGAAAAAAUCCAACAUUUUUCAUAGAUGCAUGAGAGGUAUCUUACACUCACUUCUUAGAAUGCAGGACCAUACCACUGAUACAAAUUUGCAGUCACUAGAUUUGUGAAAAAUGACAAGUCUUGUGGGGGAUACAAGAGUUGGGGCACAUGUCCACUGAUCAUUGACAAAUAUAGCUGCAACACAUAACACCCCUCUCCACCCCGACAAACAUAAUCCAUGUAUCUAACUACUAUAUGUAAAUAAAUUCACCCUAUGACUCUGGUUCUAGUGAAAACAAUGAAAGUCUAGUUAUGCUCCAGUUGAACGGGUAAAAGUUCUACGGUGAAGAGCCCAGUCAACGCAACCGAGUUUCAUGCUCAUUCUGCAUUAUCCUAUGGGACCUAUUCCAAAUCUACAAACUCUCACAUUAAUUUUCCGCACUAGCACAAACCACUAAUCAUAACAGUAUAAGUACCAACAUUAGCGUAAACAGAUGACCUUUAAAAUCAACUUCUUCUACACCUUAUUAGCUGCCACCAAAUCUCCUUUCUUGAAACCCCAUUAAUUAGAAUAUUAUAACACAUCACGUACAACCUAACCGCAUCCCAUUACUUAGCACUCUUGGCAAACCCAUUGAUGACAAUUUGAUAACUGAAUACAUUCCAGCGUUAAACCCUGACCCCACAUUCAAUCCAAAAUUUCCUGCGCCUUAUCAAAAUGCUUCUUCUUACAUGAAAUUUUCAACACAAUGUUAAAGGCUCCAAAUUAGGCCACAUGCCCAUUGUUUCAAAAUCUAAAAAACAGCUAAGCUCGAUUCCAGUGACUUGAUGAAGCAACAAAAGCAUACACCAGAAAGUAUAUGACCUUAUUCCGGGUUAACACCCAAAUUACGUUAAAUCUGUAAGAAAACAUUUAGCUCACAUUCAACCAUAAAGUUCUGAGAACAUACCUUAACUACCGUCAAAGCAACAUCUUCAUUGCAUUUGCAUUCCUGGGUUUGUAUUAGCUCACGAUUUGAGUUGCACGAGAGACGAGUUUUGGGUCGGCGACAAAACGGAAGAUAUGGUGGAAGACAGUGACCGUGUGGGUUUAAGUGUGUUUGUU
This 2809-nucleotide long non-coding RNA is filed under the name Panax ginseng (ginseng). RNAcentral's name for it is "long non-coding RNA (PGIN_LNC011598)". The record is from RNAcentral. Lineage: Eukaryota; Viridiplantae; Streptophyta; Magnoliopsida; Apiales; Araliaceae.